CAAUAUCAAAAGUACAUUGAUGCUUGAAAACAAUUUUGAAAGCAAAUAUUCCAAAAAAAAAUUGAAAGUUCAGUAAUUGUUAGGAAAUAGCUUUAAUUGUUUCAUUUACAUUGCGGUACUUUAGAAAAUUUUCAAUAUAUAUAUAUUGGUACCUUGAAAUCCCUUUCCAAUGGUGGUACCAGAAACAUCAAACAAAUCCCCUUCCUUAAACAAUUCCUCAAUCGAAAGUCUCUGAUUGGGCUCAAACCCAUCAACGGUCUGGAGCCUAAAUCCUGAAAGUGGCGCAAUGGGAUAAUUUCGGACUUUUUCAGAUGCCCCAUUCCAUCGAU
RNAcentral lists this long non-coding RNA (329 nucleotides) under Olea europaea subsp. europaea. Lineage: Eukaryota; Viridiplantae; Streptophyta; Magnoliopsida; Lamiales; Oleaceae. The record is from RNAcentral.